UAAUACGAAGGACCCAAGCGUUAUCCGGAUUUAUUGGGUUUAAAGGGUGCGUAGGCGGGUUGUUAAGUCAGUGGUGAAAGCUCCUAGCUCAACUGGGAAAUUGCCAUUGAUACUGAUGAUCUUGAGUGUGGUUGAAGUGGGCGGAAUGUGUCAUGUAGCGGUGAAAUGCUUAGAUAUGACACAGAACACCGAUUGCGAAGGCAGCUCACUAAGCCACAACUGACGCUGAUGCACGAAAGCGUGGGGAGCAAACAGGAUUAGAUACCCUGGUAGUCCACGCCCUAAACGAUGAUCACUCGAUGUGUGCGAUAUACAGUACGCGUCUGAGCGAAAGCAUUAAGUGAUCCACCUGGGGAGUACGACCGCAAGGUU
RNAcentral lists this ribosomal RNA (372 nucleotides) under uncultured bacterium. RNAcentral's name for it is "bacterial SSU rRNA". It matches the Rfam family "Bacterial small subunit ribosomal RNA", at positions 521 to 895 of the family's 1533-position model. The record is from RNAcentral.